RNAcentral lists this ribosomal RNA (334 nucleotides) under Protobothrops jerdonii. RNAcentral describes it as "partial 12S ribosomal RNA". It matches the Rfam family "Bacterial small subunit ribosomal RNA", at positions 910 to 1412 of the family's 1533-position model. The record is from RNAcentral. Lineage: Eukaryota; Metazoa; Chordata; Lepidosauria; Squamata; Viperidae.
UUGACGGUACUUCAUCACGACCUAGAGGAGCCUGUCUGAUAACCGACAAUCCACGAUUAACCCAACCCUUUCUCGCCCAACAGUCUAUAUACCGCCGUCGCCAGCUUACCUUGUAAAAGAAAUGAAGUGAGCCAAACAGUACUGCACUAAAACGACAGGUCGAGGUGUAACCCAUGAAAGGGAUUAAGAUGGGCUACAUUCUCCUACCGAGAAUACGAAUAGCACUAUGAAACUAGUGCCUGAAGGCGGAUUUAGCAGUAAGAUAGGAAUAAAACACCUAACUGAAUACAACGCAAUGAAGUGCGUACACACCGCCCGUCAUCCCUGCCACACA